Molecule: unclassified non-coding RNA, 243 nt
Filed under: Hevea brasiliensis (rubber tree)
Lineage: Eukaryota; Viridiplantae; Streptophyta; Magnoliopsida; Malpighiales; Euphorbiaceae
Source: RNAcentral
GUCGGGCUUGUCUUCCAGUACCUAGUAAAAUAGAAUGAAACAUCAACUUCUCCUAGAUGUACACAUUUGAAGCUGAUUCAGCUAAAAUGGGAUCGAGGAUUCAAUUGAGAAGGCACGGCAACGAAAUAGCAACAUUUAUAGAUAUAAAAGUUGCAACAGAAAGCAGAUAGGCAGCUAUAGCAAGACGAAUAUCCAAUUGAAAUUCAAAGAAAAUUCUCACACACCUUUACGGACGAAAUAAAG